RNAcentral lists this ribosomal RNA (468 nucleotides) under uncultured bacterium. RNAcentral describes it as "partial 16S ribosomal RNA". It matches the Rfam family "Bacterial small subunit ribosomal RNA", at positions 28 to 507 of the family's 1533-position model. The record is from RNAcentral.
GACGAACCCUGGCGGCGUGCUUAACACAUGCAAGUCGAACGGAAAGGCCCUGCUUUUGUGGGGUGCUCGAGUGGCGAACGGGUGAGUAACACGUGAGUAACCUGCCCCUGACUUUGGGAUAACUUCAGGAAACUGGGGCUAAUACCGGAUAGGAGCUCCUGCUGCAUGGUGGGGGUUGGAAAGUUUCGGCGGUUGGGGAUGGACUCGCGGCUUAUCAGCUUGUUGGUGGGGUAGUGGCUUACCAAGGCUUUGACGGGUAGCCGGCCUGAGAGGGUGACCGGCCACAUUGGGACUGAGAUACGGCCCAGACUCCUACGGGAGGCAGCAGUGGGGAAUAUUGCACAAUGGGCGGAAGCCUGAUGCAGCAACGCCGCGUGCGGGAUGACGGCCUUCGGGUUGUAAACCGCUUUCGCCUGUGACGAAGCGUGAGUGACGGUAAUGGGUAAAGAAGCACCGGCUAACUACGUG